This 1422-nucleotide ribosomal RNA is filed under the name metagenome. Its description in RNAcentral is "bacterial LSU rRNA". It matches the Rfam family "Bacterial large subunit ribosomal RNA", at positions 1521 to 2925 of the family's 2925-position model. The record is from RNAcentral.
UAGGGAGAGGUCUAGGUAAAUCCGGACCUCAUACAUCCUGAGACGCGAUGCCGAGCCGAUACAGGCGAAGUCACUAAUCCCAUGCUGCCGAGAAAAGCCUCUAGCGAGCUCACGUGGUGCCCGUACCCCAAACCAACACAGGUGGGCAGGUAGAGAAUACCAAGGCGAUCGGGAGAACUAUGGUUAAGGAACUCGGCAAAAUACAUCCGUAACUUCGGGAGAAGGAUGACCCCAUCAGGGUGACGGACUUCGCGUCCCGAGCUCGAAGGGGUGGCAGAUACUAGGGGAAAGCGACUGUUUACUAAAAACACAGCAGCGUGCUAAGCCGCAAGGCGAUGUAUACGCUGUGACGCCUGCCCGGUGCCGGAAGGUUACGGGGAAGGGUUAGCUCUUUGAGCGAAGCUCUGAACCUAAGCCCCGGUAAACGGCGGCCGUAACUAUAACGGUCCUUAGGUAGCGAAAUUCCUUGUCGGGUAAGUUCCGACCUGCACGAAUGGCGUAACGACUUUCCUACUGUCUCAACCAUAGGCCCGGCGAAAUUGAAGUACGAGUAAAGAUGCUCGUUAGCUGCAGAAGGACGGAAAGACCCCGUGGACCUUUACUACAGCCUGAUAUUGGGUUUUGGUAUAUGUUGUGUAGGAUAGGUGGGAGACUUGGAAGCGUCGGCGCCAGCCGGCGUGGAGUCACCCUUGAAAUACCACCCUGCAUAUGCCGGAACUCUAACCUAGACCCCUUAUAGGGGUUGGGGACAGUGGCAGGGUAGUUUGACUGGGGCGGUCGCCUCCUAAAGAGUAACGGAGGCGCCCAAAGGUUCCCUCAGGCUGGUUGGCAAUCAGCCGUCGAGUGCAAUGGCACAAGGGAGCUUGACUGCGAGACAUACACGUCGAGCAGGUGCGAAAGCAGGGCAUAGUGAUCCGGCGGUUGCGUGUGGAAGCGCCGUCGCUCAACGGAUAAAAGGUACCCCGGGGAUAACAGGCUCAUCUUCCCCAAGAGUCCAUAUCGACGGGAAGGUUUGGCACCUCGAUGUCGGCUCAUCGCAUCCUGGGGCCGUAGCAGGUCCCAAGGGUUGGGCUGUUCGCCCAUUAAAGCGGUACGCGAGCUGGGUUUAGAACGUCGUGAGACAGUUCGGUCCCUAUCCUCUGCAGCCGGAGGGAAUUUGAGGAAGGCUGUCCCUAGUACGAGAGGACCGGGACGGACGCAGCUCUCGUGUGCCAGUUGUCCUGCCAAGGGCACGGCUGGUUAGCGACCUGCGGAAGGGAUAAGCGCUGAAAGCAUCUAAGUGCGAAGCCCGUUCCUAGAUGAGAUUCCCCACUGGGUUAACCAGGUAAGGCCCGUGACCAGACGAUCACGUUGAUAGGCCGGAGGUGUAAGCACAGCAAUGUGUUCAGCCGACCGGUACUAAUCGGCCGAGGGCUUGGAUUC